ACGGCUCAGUAACACGUGGAUAACCUGCCCUAAGGAAGGGGAUAACCCCGGGAAACUGGGGAUAAUACCCUAUAGGUUACAGAUGCUGGAAUGCUCUGUAACCGAAAGUUCCGGCGCCUUAGGAUGGAUCUGCGGCCGAUUAGGUUGUUGUCGGGGUAACGGCCCAACAAGCCAGUAAUCGGUACGGGUUGUGGGAGCAAGAGCCCGGAGUUGGAUUCUGAGACACGAAUCCAGGCCCUACGGGGCGCAGCAGGCGCGAAAACUUUACAAUGCGGGCAACCGUGAUAAGGGAACCUCGAGUGCCUGUAUAUGCAGGCUGUCUGGGUGUCUAAAACACACCUAAAGAAAGGGCCGGGCAAGACCGGUGCCAGCCGCCGCGGUAAUACCGGCGGCUCGAGUGGUGGCCACUUUUAUUGGGCUUAAAGCGUUCGUAGCUGGGUUAUUAAGUCCCUUGGGAAAUCCGACGGCUUAACCGUCGGGCGUCUAAGGGAUACUGGCAAUCUUGGAACCGGGAGAGGUGAGGGGUACUUCGGGGGUAGGAGUGAAAUCCUGUAAUCCUCGAGGGACCACCUGUGGCGAAGGCGCCUCACCAGAACGGCUUCGACAGUGAGGGACGAAAGCUGGGGGAGCAAACCGGAUUAGAUACCCGGGUAGUCCCAGCCGUAAACGAUGUGCGUUAGGUGUGUCAGUGACCACGAGUCGCUGAGGUGCCGAAGGGAAACCGUGAAACGCACCGCCUGGGAAGUACGGUCGCAAGGCUGAAACUUAAAGGAAUUGGCGGGGGAGCACA
This 790-nucleotide ribosomal RNA is filed under the name methanogenic prokaryote enrichment culture J0704692_A19-3_M13R-48. RNAcentral's name for it is "bacterial SSU rRNA". It matches the Rfam family "Archaeal small subunit ribosomal RNA", at positions 85 to 880 of the family's 1478-position model. The record is from RNAcentral.